AGCAGCGUGGCUCAGUGGAAAGAGCUUGGGCUUGGGACCUAGAGGUCAUGGGUUCGAAUCCCAGCUCUGCCA
Non-coding RNA from Ornithorhynchus anatinus (platypus), 72 nucleotides. Lineage: Eukaryota; Metazoa; Chordata; Mammalia; Monotremata; Ornithorhynchidae. The record is from Rfam.